Molecule: ribosomal RNA, 477 nt
Filed under: uncultured bacterium
Lineage: Bacteria
Description: partial 16S ribosomal RNA
Rfam family: Bacterial small subunit ribosomal RNA
Source: RNAcentral
GAUGAACGCUGGCGGCGUGCCUAACACAUGCAAGUCGAACGAAGCACCUUACCUUAUUCUUCGGACGAGAGUUUGGUGACUGAGUGGCGGACGGGUGUGUAACGCGUGGGUAACCUGCCCUGUACAAGGGGAUAACAGCUGGAAACGGCUGCUAAUACCGCAUACGCGCACGGGGAGACAUCUCCUUGUCUGAAAAGCUCCGGUGGUACAGUAUGGGCCCGCGUCUGAUUAGCUGGUUGGCAGGGUAACGGCCUACCAAGGCAACGAACAGUAGCCGGGAUGAGAGGAGGAACGGACACAUUGGAACUGAGACACGGUCCAAACUCCUACGGGAGGCAGCAGUGGGGAAUAUUGCACAAUGGGGGAAACUCUGAUGAAGCAGCGCGGCGUGAGUGAAGAAGUAUUUCGGUAUGUAAAGCUCUAUCAGCAGGGAAGAUAAUGACGGUACCUGACAAAGAAGCACCGGCUAACUACGUG